RNAcentral lists this ribosomal RNA (380 nucleotides) under uncultured eukaryote. RNAcentral's name for it is "partial 18S ribosomal RNA". It matches the Rfam family "Eukaryotic small subunit ribosomal RNA", at positions 592 to 976 of the family's 1831-position model. The record is from RNAcentral.
CAAUAGCGUAUAUUAAAGUUGUUGCGGUUAAAAAGCUCGUAGUUGGAUUUCUGCUGAGAACGACCGGUCCGCCCUUUGGGUGUGUAUCUGGCUCUUUCUUGGCAUCUUCUUGGUGAACGUUGCUGCACUUGACUGUGUGGAGCGCUACCCAGGACUUUUACUUUGAGGAAAUUAGAGUGUUUCAAGCAGGCAUACGCCUUGAAUACAUUAGCAUGGAAUAAUAAGAUAGGACCUCGGUUCUAUUUUGUUGGUCUCUAGAGCUGAGGUAAUGAUUAAUAGGGAUAGUUGGGGGCAUUCGUAUUUAACUGUCAGAGGUGAAAUUCUUGGAUUUGUUAAAGACGGACUACCGCGAAAGCAUUUGCCAAGGAUGUUUUCAUUGA